This 75-nucleotide transfer RNA is filed under the name Cordylochernes scorpioides. RNAcentral describes it as "tRNA-Thr". The record is from RNAcentral. Lineage: Eukaryota; Metazoa; Arthropoda; Arachnida; Pseudoscorpiones; Chernetidae.
UGUCCAGGGGCGGGAAUCUAACCCACAACCUUCUGCUUACCGGGCAGGUGCCAUGUCCACUAGGCUAUCCUGGAC